GCCUGGGUAGCUCAGCUGGUAGAGCGCGUCCUUGGUAAGGACGAGGUCACCGGUUCAAUCCCGGUCCCAGGCUCCA
This 76-nucleotide transfer RNA is filed under the name Acidipila sp. RNAcentral's name for it is "tRNA-Thr". It matches the Rfam family "tRNA". From Rfam's summary of the family: Transfer RNA (tRNA) molecules are approximately 80 nucleotides in length. Their secondary structure includes four short double-helical elements and three loops (D, anti-codon, and T loops). The record is from RNAcentral. RNAcentral also lists the same sequence under 7 other names. Lineage: Bacteria; Pseudomonadati; Acidobacteriota; Terriglobia; Terriglobales; Acidobacteriaceae.